GUGCCAGCCGCCGCGGUAAUACGUAGGGUGCGAGCGUUAAUCGGAAUUACUGGGCGUAAAGCGUGCGCAGGCUGUUUUGUAAGUCAGAUGUGAAAUCCCCGAGCUCAACUUGGGAACUGCGUUUGAAACUACAAGACUAGAAUAUGUCAGAGGGGGGUAGAAUUCCACGUGUAGCAGUGAAAUGCGUAGAGAUGUGGAGGAAUAUCAAUGGCGAAGGCAGCCCCCUGGGAUAAUAUUGACGCUCAUGCACGAAAGCGUGGGGAGCAAACAGGAUUAGAUACCCCCGUAGUCC
Molecule: ribosomal RNA, 292 nt
Filed under: uncultured bacterium
Lineage: Bacteria
Description: partial 16S ribosomal RNA
Rfam family: Bacterial small subunit ribosomal RNA
Source: RNAcentral